RNAcentral lists this ribosomal RNA (460 nucleotides) under uncultured bacterium. RNAcentral describes it as "partial 16S ribosomal RNA". It matches the Rfam family "Bacterial small subunit ribosomal RNA", at positions 338 to 795 of the family's 1533-position model. The record is from RNAcentral.
CCUACGGGAGGCAGCAGUGAGGAAUAUUGGUCAAUGGACGAGAGUCUGAACCAGCCAAGUAGCGUGAAGGAUGACUGCCCUAUGGGUUGUAAACUUCUUUUAUAUGGGAAUAAAACAGGGUAUGCAUACCCUCUUGUAUGUACCAUAUGAAUAAGGAUCGGCUAACUCCGUGCCAGCAGCCGCGGUAAUACGGAGGAUCCGAGCGUUAUCCGGCUUUAUUGGGUUUAAAGGGAGCGUAGGUGGAUUGUUAAGUCAGUUGUGAAAGUUUGCGGCUCAACCGUAAAAUUGCAGUUGAAACUGGCAGUCGUGAGUACAGUAGAGGUAGGCGGAAUUCGUGGUGUAGCGGUGAAAUGCUUAGAUAUCACGAAGAACCCCGAUUGCGAAGGCAGCUCACUGGACUGCAACUGACACUGAUGCUCGAAAGUGUGGGUAUCAAACAGGAUUAGAUACCCCGGUAGUC